Molecule: unclassified non-coding RNA, 413 nt
Filed under: fungal sp.
Lineage: Eukaryota; Fungi
Description: partial internal transcribed spacer region
Rfam family: Eukaryotic small subunit ribosomal RNA (bases 1-46)
Source: RNAcentral
AAGUCGUAACAAGGUUUCCGUAGGUGAACCUGCGGAAGGAUCAUGUAAACGUUUUUCAAACUUAAACAAGGGAGAAGCGGGCCGGGUCGCGGGGGGAAACUUCUGUGGCCUGUCUUGUCUUCUUUCUUUUUAAACCCAUCGCGAACUGGAUUUCGUAGCACUUGGCAUAUCCCGCACUCGCAGAACGACGGACGGCGUGCGCUUUCGAGCACCACGACGGACGUCUCGGCGACUGUGUGUGUGUGUCCUUUUGCGACCUUUUCUCAUUUUUUCACCCCUUUUUGAAAACAUUCAAAACUUUUACAACGAAUCUGUUUUUCUUUUUCUCGCGCUCGUCGCAAGACAAAAAAAACAGUGAUCGCUUCUUUUAAUGCAAAAGAGAACAACUCUUAGCAACGGAUAUCUUGGUUCCC